This 1565-nucleotide ribosomal RNA is filed under the name Enterobacter asburiae. RNAcentral's name for it is "partial 23S ribosomal RNA". It matches the Rfam family "Bacterial large subunit ribosomal RNA", at positions 1271 to 2818 of the family's 2925-position model. The record is from RNAcentral. Lineage: Bacteria; Pseudomonadati; Pseudomonadota; Gammaproteobacteria; Enterobacterales; Enterobacteriaceae.
UGCUGGAGGUAUCAGAAGUGCGAAUGCUGACAUAAGUAACGAUAAAGCGGGUGAAAAGCCCGCUCGCCGGAAGACCAAGGGUUCCUGUCCAACGUUAAUCGGGGCAGGGUGAGUCGACCCCUAAGGCGAGGCCGAAAGGCGUAGUCGAUGGGAAACAGGUUAAUAUUCCUGUACUUGGUGUUACUGCGAAGGGGGGACGGAGAAGGCUAUGUUAGCCGGGCGACGGUUGUCCCGGUUUAAGCAUGUAGGCGGAGGUUCCAGGUAAAUCCGGUACCUUUUAACGCUGAGGUGUGAUGACGAGGCACUACGGUGCUGAAGUAACAAAUGCCCUGCUUCCAGGAAAAGCCUCUAAGCAUCAGGUAACACGAAAUCGUACCCCAAACCGACACAGGUGGUCAGGUAGAGAAUACCAAGGCGCUUGAGAGAACUCGGGUGAAGGAACUAGGCAAAAUGGUGCCGUAACUUCGGGAGAAGGCACGCUGAUAUGUAGGUGAAGCCCCUGCGGGUGGAGCUGAAAUCAGUCGAAGAUACCAGCUGGCUGCAACUGUUUAUUAAAAACACAGCACUGUGCAAACACGAAAGUGGACGUAUACGGUGUGACGCCUGCCCGGUGCCGGAAGGUUAAUUGAUGGGGUUAGCGGCAACGCGAAGCUCUUGAUCGAAGCCCCGGUAAACGGCGGCCGUAACUAUAACGGUCCUAAGGUAGCGAAAUUCCUUGUCGGGUAAGUUCCGACCUGCACGAAUGGCGUAAUGAUGGCCAGGCUGUCUCCACCCGAGACUCAGUGAAAUUGAACUCGCUGUGAAGAUGCAGUGUACCCGCGGCAAGACGGAAAGACCCCGUGAACCUUUACUAUAGCUUGACACUGAACACUGGUCCUUGAUGUGUAGGAUAGGUGGGAGGCUUUGAAGCGUGGACGCCAGUCUGCGUGGAGCCGUCCUUGAAAUACCACCCUUUAAUGGCUGGUGUUCUAACGUAGACCCGUAAUCCGGGUUGCGGACAGUGUCUGGUGGGUAGUUUGACUGGGGCGGUCUCCUCCCAAAGAGUAACGGAGGAGCACGAAGGUUAGCUAAUCCUGGUCGGACAUCAGGAGGUUAGUGCAAUGGCAUAAGCUAGCUUGACUGCGAGAGUGACGGCUCGAGCAGGUGCGAAAGCAGGUCAUAGUGAUCCGGUGGUUCUGAAUGGAAGGGCCAUCGCUCAACGGAUAAAAGGUACUCCGGGGAUAACAGGCUGAUACCGCCCAAGAGUUCAUAUCGACGGCGGUGUUUGGCACCUCGAUGUCGGCUCAUCACAUCCUGGGGCUGAAGUAGGUCCCAAGGGUAUGGCUGUUCGCCAUUUAAAGUGGUACGCGAGCUGGGUUUAGAACGUCGUGAGACAGUUCGGUCCCUAUCUGCCGUGGGCGCUGGAGAAUUGAGGGGGGCUGCUCCUAGUACGAGAGGACCGGAGUGGACGCAUCACUGGUGUUCGGGUUGUCAUGCCAAUGGCACUGCCCGGUAGCUAAAUGCGGAAAAGAUAAGUGCUGAAAGCAUCUAAGCACGAAACUUGCCCCGAGAUGAGUUCUCCCUGA